UUAAAAAUUGAAGUUAUUUUUAUAUGUGAAGAAACAAUAAUAAAAAUUAGGGACAAGAAGACCCUAUGAAUUUUUAUAAAUUCUUUAAAAAAUUUUUUAAAGAAUUUAUUUAAUUGGGGCGAUUAAUAAAUAUAUUUAACUUUUUUUUUAAAAAAAAAUGAUCCAUUAUUAAUGAUUAAAUGAGGUAAAUACUCUAGGGAUAACAGCGUAAUAAUUUUAGAUAGAUCUUAUAGAAAAAAUAGUUUGCGACCUCGAUGUUGGAUUAGGAUUCUUAUUUAAUGAAGACCGGAGAGAAACAAAAAAGUCGCCCUCCCUUACCUCACCCUUUGUGUAAUGGUAGAAGUUGGACUAAUUCCUAGUCAUUGUAGUC
RNAcentral lists this ribosomal RNA (370 nucleotides) under Haemaphysalis leachi. Its description in RNAcentral is "partial large subunit ribosomal RNA". The record is from RNAcentral. Lineage: Eukaryota; Metazoa; Arthropoda; Arachnida; Ixodida; Ixodidae.